This 407-nucleotide ribosomal RNA is filed under the name uncultured bacterium. Its description in RNAcentral is "partial 16S ribosomal RNA". It matches the Rfam family "Bacterial small subunit ribosomal RNA", at positions 30 to 526 of the family's 1533-position model. The record is from RNAcentral.
AUUGAACGCUGGCGGCAGGCCUAACACAUGCAAGUCGAGCGGAGCGGCGGACGGGUGAGUAAUGCCUAGGAAUCUGCCUGGUAGUGGGGGAUAACGUCCGGAAACGGGCGCUAAUACCGCAUACUAUCAGAUGAGCCUAGGUCGGAUUUGCUAGUGGGUGGGGUAAAGGCCUACCAAGGCGACGAUCCGUAACUGGUCUGAGAGGAUGAUCAGUCACACUCGAACAGAGAUACGGUCCAGACUCUUACGUGAGGGGGAGGAGGGGAAUAUUGGACAAUGGGCGAAAGCCUGAGCCAGCCACGUGGCGUGUGUGAAGAAGGUCUUCGGAGUGUAAAGCGCUUUAAGUGGGGAGGGGCUUUCAACAGAAUAAGCACCGGCUAACUUCGUGCCAGCAGCCGCGGUAAUAC